CAUUAAAUUUCGUGUCGGCCCAAGGCCCACUAAUUCUAGUUGAAACAUUAACCCAUCACUUGUUUCUCUCGAUCCAUGGAUACUUUUAGUCAAAUAAGAAUUUCUCCAAUUAAAUGAAAAAGGAAAUUACAUAAAUAUACCAUUUAAAUAACAUUUUUUAUCAAAAGAAAGAAAUACAUAGCAAAUAACUUGGUAUUACAUAUAUUUUUUCCAGAUCUGGCCGACUACUCUACCCGAAGUUGUAUUAUUCUGUAGCCGCCACAUCGAGCACCGCUUAGUGCUCGCGGGACAUAAAUCGGAGUUCAUCGCCAUGGGAGAAAGUCGCCGCCGGAGACGCCUUGUUGACGCGUUUGCUGCUGCUGCUCGUGGGGGCAGACGCUGGUGUGGGCAUCUCCUCCGGGCGAGGAAAUGGCGGUGGCGCUGGAUCCCGUCAGCGAUAUGACGCUUUCGCGAUGGCCGAUGACCCAAGCGAGGCGGGAGGUCGGGAACGUGGCGCCGGUGUCCAGAUCCGGCCGGAUCUCGACGAAAUCGAAGGAGAAUGGCGGCUGGGGGGUGAGCUCGGGCGACGCCAUGGGCGCUCGGCCUUCAUUGCUGCAGGGAGAGGCAAAGAGAGAUGAGAGAUGUGAGAGGAGAGAGGAGAGCAGAUGAGAGAAAUAGGCGACGAAAGGCGUGGCUCAGCGGGGAGCUGCGGCCCGUCACGCGGAGUCGCGGACGGCGACCCGUCGCGCGGACGACGACCGAUGGCUACAAGCUCUGCUCUUCCUCGGGCC
This 770-nucleotide ribosomal RNA is filed under the name Triticum aestivum (bread wheat). RNAcentral describes it as "partial small subunit ribosomal RNA". Lineage: Eukaryota; Viridiplantae; Streptophyta; Magnoliopsida; Poales; Poaceae. The record is from RNAcentral.